AUGAUUCUGGGGAAACUCUACCACCAUCUGUGUGCCUUGCCUAGCAAUAUGUCACUAUCCAGGUAUGUUCCUGGCAGAAAAGUUGCAUAACUUGGGGGUUAAAGACAGGAAUAUGGCACAAUGCCCAUUGUGGGCAGUGUCCAGACAGAAGAAGAGACUCAUAUCACCUAAAUGACAAACCCAGAAUAUGUCACAAUGUAUCCUGUUGAAAGGACCAGGACAAUGGAAGAAGAGUCAAAUCACCAGGAUGCCGAUUUUAGUGAUUUAUCAAGAUUCCCCCUGUUAACAGGGAUUAGGAAGAAACGAGGAUGAAUUGCCACAUCAUCUGGUUCUGAGUUCUGAGAUAUUCACAAGUCCCCUUAGAAAACAACUCAGGCAAGAGAGUUACAUCACCUAGGAGCCCGUUCCACCCUUAUGUCACAGUGCUUCAUGUGUACAGGACUAAGAAGAAAGUCACAUCACCUAGAUGAUAGACCCAGAGACACGUCACAAAGCCUUCCUGAAAGCAUGGCCCUGGCAAAAUAGUACAAUCACCUUUGUACCUGGUCUAGCAAUAUGUCAUUAUUCAAGUGUGCAGGUACCAAGGAGAGGAGCCAUACUACCUAUGUUAUAUGCCCUGUGCUAUGUCAAAAUGCCUUCUUUUCAGCAUGGCCCUGGAAGAAUGUAUCAUCUCAUAUGUGACUGGCCUAGGAAGAUGUCACUAUCCUGCCAUGUGUGCAGGGCCCAUUUUAGAGAUUAGAGUUAUGUCUUCUUCUAAGUCAUGGACCCAGUGAUAUAUCACUAUGAUGUCUGUGAGAAUGGGCAGGCAGGAAUGUAAUGUCACUUGCAUUCUAGAUCCAGUGAUGUCACAAUUCUUACUGAGGGCAGAGCCCAGUCAGAAGAGUCAUAUCUUUUACAGGUUGGCCCAAGUAGAUGUCAAAAACCCCUAUGGAUUAGAUUUACAAUACCACACAUCUCUUGUUUUCAUGUAGGAGAGUUGCCUGCAUUCAUCUGUGAUGAUGAAAGUCCUUACUGUCAGCCAAGUGUGCAUAUGAGACUCACAAUUUCCUCUGUUUGCUAACCACUAUUAUGACACUCUCUAUUCAACCCAACGGUUUUAUAAAACAUUUGUCAUUGUUAUAAA
Molecule: long non-coding RNA, 1123 nt
Organism: Homo sapiens (human)
Lineage: Eukaryota; Metazoa; Chordata; Mammalia; Primates; Hominidae
Gene: TTTY12
Product: testis expressed transcript, Y-linked 12
Source: Ensembl